RNAcentral lists this small RNA (1456 nucleotides) under Pongo abelii (Sumatran orangutan). RNAcentral describes it as "processed transcript". Lineage: Eukaryota; Metazoa; Chordata; Mammalia; Primates; Hominidae. The record is from RNAcentral.
GUCUGGGUCUGGGGUCGCGGCCUGAAGCUGGGGCUGGGACUGGGAUUGGGAUUGGGGUCUGGAGUCCGCCCGGGGCGCCGACCGUCCCCCCUCCCCGCAGCCCGAGCGGGAAGAAGUUCCGCAGCAAGCCGCAGCUGGCGCGCUACCUGGGCGGCUCCAUGGACCUGAGCACUUUCGACUUCCGCACGGGCAAGAUGCUGAUGAGCAAGAUGAACAAGAGCCGCCAGCGCGUGCGCUACGACUCCUCCAACCAGGUCAAGGGCAAGCCCGACCUGAACACGGCGCUGCCCGUGCGCCAGACGGCGUCCAUCUUCAAGCAGCCGGUGACCAAGAUUACCAACCACCCCAGCAACAAGGUCAAGAGCGACCCGCAGAAGGCGGUGGACCAGCCGCGCCAGCUCUUCUGGGAGAAGAAGCUGAGCGGCCUGAACGCCUUCGACAUUGCUGAGGAGCUGGUCAAGACCAUGGACCUCCCCAAGGGCCUGCAGGGGGUGGGACCUGGCUGCACGGAUGAGACGCUGCUGUCGGCCAUCGCCAGCGCCCUGCACACUAGCACCAUGCCCAUCACGGGACAGCUCUCGGCCGCCGUGGAGAAGAACCCUGGCGUGUGGCUCAACACCACGCAGCCCCUGUGCAAAGCCUUCAUGGUGACCGACGAGGACAUCAGCAGGAAGAGCUGGUGCAGCAGGUGCGGAAGCGCCUGGAGGAGGCGCUGAUGGCCGACAUGCUGGCGCACGUGGAGGAGCUGGCCCGUGACGGCGAGGUGCCGCUGGACAAGGCCUGCGCUGAGGACGACGAGGAGGAGGACGAGGAGGAUGAGGAGGAGGAGCCCGACCCAGACCCAGAGAUGGAGCACGUCUAGGGCAGGUGCUGCGGGGCUGUGGGGGCUCCCUGGAGUUGGGUCCCGGCAGUGGGGACUGCCUGGUGAACACACAUGUGGUCGGGAUGACGGGUGCCUCCCAAGAGCUUCCCAUCUCCCUAGAAGAGCCCAGGCUUCCCCGUCCCGUGGAGUCGCUAAAGCCAGCCCUCCCUGUCCUUUCCAGGGGCCCUGCCGAGAGCCUGUGCUGCCCUCUGGAGCCGCCUGCAGACGCGGCCCUCGGCCCCACGUGAACCAGGCUCGGCAGCCGAGGCCAGCCCUGGAGACACCCGGGAGGAAGGCCGUGCUCCUGGCUCCCUCCUCGGCCCGUCCCCACUUCCUGGGGCCUUGGGGCACACAGCUGGGGCUGCCCCCACCUGAAAGACCCUCCACGCUCGUCCUCUACAGGGUCCGGCUUUGGGAAGUGCCGGGUGCUCCUGGGCCCUGCCUGGCUCCCUACGACCUCGGGGCUCGAGGCCAGCUCCUCCCCACGCCCGCUGUCCCAGCUCCUUGAGACUGGAGAGCAGCCAGCAGGUGCCCGGCAGCUCGGCACCAAGGAUUGCUGACAGCUGGGAGGGUGUCUCGGUCUGGAGGCGUAGU